Molecule: ribosomal RNA, 244 nt
Filed under: uncultured bacterium
Lineage: Bacteria
Description: partial small subunit ribosomal RNA
Rfam family: Bacterial small subunit ribosomal RNA
Source: RNAcentral
AGAAUCAACGCUGGCGGCGUGCCUAACACAUGCAAGUCGAACGAGAAAGUGGGGCAAUCCAUGAGUAAAGUGGCGACCGGGUGAGUAACACGUGACUAACCUACCUUCGAGUGGGGGAUAACCUCGGGAAACCGAGGCUAAUACCGCAUAACAUCGCAAGAUCAAAGCAGCAAUGCGCUGGAAGAGGGGGUCGCGGCUGAUUAGCUAGUUGGCGGGUAACGGCCCACCAAGGCGAAGAUCGGUA